ACCAGUCCAUUGUGAAGGAGAUCAGCCCUGGGAUUUCUUUGGAAGGAAUGAUGCUAAAGCUGAAACUCCAGUACUUUGGCCACCUCAUGCGAAGAGUUGACUCAUUGGAAAAGACUCUGAUGCUGGGAGGGAUUGGGGGCAGGAGGAGAAGGGGACGACAGAGGAUGAGAUGGCUAGAUGGCAUCACUGACUCGAUGGACCUGAGUCUGGGUGAACUCUGGGAGUUAGUGAUGGACAGGGAGGCUGGCGUGCUGCGAUUCAUGGGGUCGCAAAGAGUUGGACAUGACUGAGCAACUGAACUGAACUGAACUGAAAAGGCAGUAAAAAAAAAAAAAAAAAAUAUAUAUAUAUAUAUAUAUAUAUAUCUCCUAACAGUAGAGCAGCUCCUGGCACAGAGUGAGGACUCAGUAAAUGCAAUUAUUAUUUCGCUUUAUGUAUCUACAAAGCAGACCCCACUAGGAGCCCGACAUUCAUCACCUGCUUCAGUCUUCACAAGGGCUCCCUAAGGAAGGUAGAAGAAUGCUUUCCAUCACAGAGGAGAAGAGAGGCACAGAGAGGGUCGGAGGCUUCCCCAAUGUCACACAGCGGGUGCUGGUGGAGCUGGAUGUUUGGAACUGGGCGAAAGGGGUAGGCGGGCGGUCAGAGCCUGACAUCAUCACUGCCGGAUCUAGAGACCUCAUUUUGCUGGGAAGCCUGUGUGAGAGUCAGGCCUGCUCACUCUGCGCCUCAGCUGUGGACCCCUUCCAGGCCCAAGUUUCAGCCUCGCAGACCGAGUCAGGUGUCGAAAUCCCUCCUCUGAGUCCGCAGGUGGGGAGGUGAGGCUCAGAGAGGAACAAGGGCUUGCCCCAGGUCACACAGCCCACCAGGGGCAGGGCGGGGGUAGACCCUUGACCUCCCGCUGCCCUUGGCCCUCCCCAGCUCAGAGUUCAAGGAUGCGGAGAGGACCAGACAGGGGUUAAAACCCACCCAAACGCGAAACGGCAGCCCCAGCCGCCCCCCGGCCGGGGCUCACUCCCUGACCGCCGCCCCCACCGCGGGCCGGCCCGCAUCUGGGCGCAGGGAACAGAUUUCCCGUUUCACACAGCGCACAAUGGGCCGCCUCAAAGGCGCGCCGCGGGCAUUGUUCGGGCCGGCGCCCGCGCGUCCUACCUCCGCGCGCGAAUUAACCCCCGUCACCCUCGCCAUUGUCGCCGCGCACUUCGGGGCCGGCCACAAAGGCGCCAGAAAACCCUGCCGUGUUCGGAAGGAUGGGGGUGGGGGGAGGGAGCCACGGGGAUGCGAGGACAAAGAAGGGUGCCCUUGGUGGAGACUCUCAGCCCCUGCAUUUGGAUUGCUGCCCGGCCCCCUGCCCCUCCUCCUCCCACAAACAGUUGUGCUGACAUCUCAGGAAAGAAGGGCCUGAGUGGGGGCUUCAUGGAGCCCAUUGUACAGAUGGGGAAGCUAAGGCUCAGAGAUGUCAGUCCAGUGAUUAUAUGCCCUGCCCUGCCCUAUUUUCCGGAGUCAAAUAUUCAGAAAAAUAACCAAGUUGUCCAAGAGUGA
RNAcentral lists this long non-coding RNA (1539 nucleotides) under Bos indicus x Bos taurus (hybrid cattle). RNAcentral's name for it is "lncRNA (ENSBIXG00005025320.1)". The record is from RNAcentral. Lineage: Eukaryota; Metazoa; Chordata; Mammalia; Artiodactyla; Bovidae.